CAGGCCUAACACAUGCAAGUCGAACGAAGGCUUCGGCCUUAGUGGCGCACGGGUGCGUAACGCGUGGGAAUCUGCCCUUGGGUUCGGAAUAACAGUUGGAAACGACUGCUAAUACCGGAUGAUGACGUAAGUCCAAAGAUUUAUCGCCCAAGGAUGAGCCCGCGUCAGAUUAGCUAGUUGGUGGGGUAAAGGCCUACCAAGGCGACGAUCUGUAGCUGGUCUGAGAGGAUGAUCAGCCACACUGGGACUGAGACACGGCCCAGACUCCUACGGGAGGCAGCAGUGGGGAAUAUUGGACAAUGGGCGAAAGCCUGAUCCAGCAAUGCCGCGUGAGUGAUGAAGGCCUUAGGGUUGUAAAGCUCUUUUACCCGGGAUGAUAAUGACAGUACCGGGAGAAUAAGCUCCGGCUAACUCCGUGCCAGCAGCCGCGGUAAU
RNAcentral lists this ribosomal RNA (435 nucleotides) under uncultured bacterium. RNAcentral's name for it is "bacterial SSU rRNA". It matches the Rfam family "Bacterial small subunit ribosomal RNA", at positions 43 to 524 of the family's 1533-position model. The record is from RNAcentral.